GAUGAAGAACGUAGUGAAAUGCGAUAAGUAAUGUGAAUUGCAGAAUUCAGUGAAUCAUCGAAUCUUUGAACGCACAUUGCGCCCGCCAGUAUUCUGGCGGGCAUGCCUGUUCGAGCGUCAUUUCAACCAUCAAGCCCCCCGGCUUGUGUUGGGGACGUGCGGCUGCCGCAGGCCCUGAAAAGCAGUGGCGGGCUCGCUGUCACACCGAGCGUAGUAGCAUACAUCUCGCUCUGGGCGUGCUGCGGGUUCCGGCCGUUAAACCACCUUCAUAACCCAAGGUUGACCGCGGAUCAGGUAGGAAGACCCGCUGAACUUAAGCAUAUCAAUAAGCGGAGGA
This 337-nucleotide unclassified non-coding RNA is filed under the name soil metagenome. RNAcentral describes it as "partial contains 5.8S ribosomal RNA, internal transcribed spacer 2, and large subunit ribosomal RNA". The stretch from base 1 to 120 matches the Rfam family "5.8S ribosomal RNA", at positions 35 to 154 of the family's 154-position model. The record is from RNAcentral.